RNAcentral lists this ribosomal RNA (550 nucleotides) under uncultured bacterium. RNAcentral describes it as "bacterial SSU rRNA". It matches the Rfam family "Bacterial small subunit ribosomal RNA", at positions 355 to 896 of the family's 1533-position model. The record is from RNAcentral.
UGGGGAAUUUUGCGCAAUGGGCGAAAGCCUGACGCAGCAACGCCGCGUGGGUGAUGAAGGUCUUCGGACUGUAAAACCCUGUCGUCAGGGACGAAGAUGUAUACGUUAAUAGCGUGUGCAUUUGACGGUACCUGGAGAGGAAGCCCCGGCUAACUCUGUGCCAGCAGCCGCGGUAAUACAGAGGGGGCAAGCGUUAUUCGGAAUUAUCGGGCGUAAAGGGCGCGUAGGCGGUUUUUUAAGUCAGAUGUGUAAUCCCCGAGCUUAACUUGGGAACUGCAUCUGAGACUGGAAGGCUAGAGUACUGGAGAGGGUGGUGGAAUUCCUCGUGUAGCGGUGAAAUGCGUAGAGAUGAGGAGGAACACCAGUGGCGAAGGCGGCCACCUGGACAGUAACUGACGCUGAGGCGCGAAAGUGUGGGUAGCAAACAGGAUUAGAUACCCUGGUAGUCCACGCUGUAAACGAUGAACACUUGGUGUGGAGGGAGUUGACCCCUUCCGUGCCGGAGCUAACGCGUUAAGUGUUCCGCCUGGGGAGUACGGUCGCAAGGCUG